Molecule: long non-coding RNA, 1455 nt
Organism: Mustela erminea (ermine)
Lineage: Eukaryota; Metazoa; Chordata; Mammalia; Carnivora; Mustelidae
Exons: 2
Source: RefSeq, a predicted model, not a curated record
UAGUCCACUCUAUGAAAUGAAUACUAUUAUAGAUGAGUAAACAGGGGUUUAGGUAAUUUAAGCAAUUUCCUCAGAUACAUGCAGAAGGCAUGACGCAGAGUAAAUGUCCCCAGGCUGACUGUGGGUAAGCUGAUGUCCUCUGAUCCUGGGUUCACACGCAAGCACAUACACACACAUGCACACACACACGCAAGAAGCCUCUCUUUUAAGCCUUCUAAGCCUGUCGGGUAUUUCUGGGCCCAUUUUAUAGAUGAGGAAACUGAAUUUCAACUGAACCAUCUCUUGAGCUCUUUUAAGGUUAUGAGCCAGACCUUUCCACGGUGCAGAGCAUAAGAGAUCUCUGAUGCCUCCCACCCCCACCCCCCGAGUCUCUGCCUCCCUGGGCCGGAUCAAGCUGGGACAUGGUGUUAGCAAGCGGCCGUGCGCAGGGCUGUGUAUGGCUUACUGUGUAUGACUUUCGGCUCUAAAAGCUCAUCUCCCUCCACGGCUAAACCAGGCCUAGUGAGAUGUAGAUACAUAAAUAUCUUCUUUACGCCCUGUCCCAGGGGAAAGAUAGAACCAAAUAAAUCCGAUUAGCUUCCCAGGAUACUAGCUGCUCUCUCUCUUUGAAGUCCAGUGGGUGAAGAUAAUGCCAUUUCCGCAUGGGAGACGUCGUUUCGGAGGGCCGAAGGGGCCUCCGUGCUGAGCAGCACAGCUAAACAGAGUGGGCGACGCGGUCCCGAGCAGCGCGGGGCUCCCACGCCAGGGUCCUGCCUUCCCCGGAGCCGGGGCUCCUCCUCCCCAGCCCACCCCCGCCCCUGGGAUGUUCCCAGAUAGGACAUCUGUUCCUCUGGACAGAAACUCAGAUUGCUGCCAAGGAGGUGAUCCUGCUGCCAAGUUGGCCUGGAGACAGAGAGAGGAGUUAAGAUGACCUAAAGACAGGGAGAAAAACGGUAGCAAUGGGCAUUUUAACACUGAUAGCCGUCUUAACAUUCUGCGGGGAAAGCAUAGCAGCAUAGCGUGGUUAUUUGCGCUUUCUUUCUUAGGACAGCAACUGUGUGUGUGUGUGUGUGUGUGUGUGUGUGUGUGUGUGUGUGCGCGCGCAAGCUCACAGAAACAAUGGAGUUGCAAGUGGCCUCAUUGUAUCUGAUGAAACCCAGUGGCCUUCCUCAAGGCCCUGAGGCACUGAAGUUCCCACGACUUAGCAGUGCUCCAGGCUGCUGGCUCUCCUGCACCUGCCCUCAGCCUUCACUCUUCCUGCUGCUGCCCAGAAAGCUUGCUGCUUCCUCCUUAAUGUAUUAUUCACCUGCGCCACUCACAACCCCAGACUUUUAGAUCCUCCCCUGCUUCCCAAGAAGAAGGCAGUGUACCUGACCCCCAACUCCUUCUUCCUUUACCCUAGAGAAUAAAAGAAAGAAUCUUACUCCUCGUGGCCUGAAAUUGCAAAAAAAAACAAACAAACAAACAAAACCAAAC